CCUACGGGUGGCAGCAGUGAGGAAUAUUGGUCAAUGGGCGCAAGCCUGAACCAGCCAAGCCGCGUGAGGGAAGACUGCCCUAUGGGUUGUAAACCUCUUUUAUAAGGGAAGAAUAAUUACUACGUGUAGUCAGAUGCCAGUACCUUAUGAAUAAGCAUCGGCUAACUCCGUGCCAGCAGCCGCGGUAAUACGGAGGAUGCGAGCGUUAUCCGGAUUUAUUGGGUUUAAAGGGUGCGUAGGCGGUAUUUUAAGUUAGUGGUAAAACGUCGGGGCUAAACCGCGAUUGGCCAUUAAAACUUGAGUACUAGAGAACAGACGAGGUAGGCGGAAUGAGUUGUGUAGCGGUGAAAUGCUUAGAUAUAACUUAGAACCCAGAUUGCGAAGGCAGCUUACCAGACUGUUACUGACGCUGAAGCACGAGAGCGUGGGUAGCGAACAGGAUUAGAUACCCGGGUAGUC
Molecule: ribosomal RNA, 459 nt
Filed under: uncultured bacterium
Lineage: Bacteria
Description: partial 16S ribosomal RNA
Rfam family: Bacterial small subunit ribosomal RNA
Source: RNAcentral